AGCAGUCGCCACGGUAAAACGGAGGGUGCAAGCGUUAAUCGGAAUUACUGGGCGUAAAGCGCACGCAGGCGGUCUGACAAGUCAGAUGUGAAAUCCCCGGGCUUAACCUGGGAACUGCAUUUGAAACUGUCAGGCUGGAGUCUUGUAGAGGGGGGUAGAAUUCCAGGUGUAGCGGUGAAAUGCGUAGAGAUCUGGAGGAAUACCGGUGGCGAAGGCGGCCCCCUGGACAAAGACUGACGCUCAGGUGCGAAAGCGUGGGGAGCAAACAGGAUUAGAUACCCCAGUAGUCCCUGUCUCUUAUAC
This 303-nucleotide ribosomal RNA is filed under the name uncultured bacterium. Its description in RNAcentral is "partial 16S ribosomal RNA". It matches the Rfam family "Bacterial small subunit ribosomal RNA", at positions 507 to 807 of the family's 1533-position model. The record is from RNAcentral.